This 618-nucleotide ribosomal RNA is filed under the name Vibrio cholerae. RNAcentral describes it as "partial 23S ribosomal RNA". It matches the Rfam family "Bacterial large subunit ribosomal RNA", at positions 2180 to 2797 of the family's 2925-position model. The record is from RNAcentral. Lineage: Bacteria; Pseudomonadati; Pseudomonadota; Gammaproteobacteria; Vibrionales; Vibrionaceae.
UUGGAGCCGUCCUUGAAAUACCACCCUUGUAUGUUUGAUGUUCUAACUUAGACCCAUUAUCUGGGUUGAGGACAGUGCCUGGUGGGUAGUUUGACUGGGGCGGUCUCCUCCCAAAGAGUAACGGAGGAGCACGAAGGUGGGCUAAUCACGGUUGGACAUCGUGAGGUUAGUGCAAUGGCAUAAGCCCGCUUAACUGCGAGAAUGACGGUUCGAGCAGGUGCGAAAGCAGGUCAUAGUGAUCCGGUGGUUCUGUAUGGAAGGGCCAUCGCUCAACGGAUAAAAGGUACUCCGGGGAUAACAGGCUGAUACCGCCCAAGAGUUCAUAUCGACGGCGGUGUUUGGCACCUCGAUGUCGGCUCAUCACAUCCUGGGGCUGAAGUCGGUCCCAAGGGUAUGGCUGUUCGCCAUUUAAAGUGGUACGCGAGCUGGGUUUAGAACGUCGUGAGACAGUUCGGUCCCUAUCUGCCGUGGGCGUUGGAAGAUUGAAGGGGGCUGCUCCUAGUACGAGAGGACCGGAGUGGACGAACCUCUGGUGUUCGGGUUGUGUCGCCAGACGCAUUGCCCGGUAGCUAAGUUCGGAAUUGAUAAGCGCUGAAAGCAUCUAAGCGCGAAGCGAGC